AAAAGAGUGAGGAGAAGCCCCCAACGCUCUUGAAGCCUCAGCCCAGGCCUGUCACCUCUACUUAGCUUACUAUCAGUGAGGUGAGGAAAUAUACAUCACCUUCUGUGGAAAGAACGUCAAAGUCAUACAGCUAAAGACGUGGAGACAGGGAAGGCUUGGCAGGCUCUAGAGAGACUGACCUCUGCAGAUGGUUUAAAGGGAGAAGCAUGAGGGUGGGUUCACAGUUCACAGGGCUGCCAAUCAGGCCUGUGAAGAAAACUCAACAGUCUAAAAGAAUAUAGGGAGACAGAACCCAACCUAGAAGAAAUGGACAAAUUCCCAGACACAUCAAGGAAUUCCUAGACAACCUAUCAAAACUGAAUCAUGAUUAGAUAGAAAAUCUGAACAGACCAAUAUAAGUAAAGAGAUUAAAGCAGUAAUAA
Chlorocebus sabaeus (green monkey) is the source of this 422-nucleotide long non-coding RNA. RefSeq lists it as uncharacterized. The record is from RefSeq and is a predicted model, not a curated record. NCBI's taxonomy places the organism in Eukaryota, Metazoa, Chordata, Mammalia, Primates, Cercopithecidae.